CCCCUAGAUGCUCUGGGCCGCACGCGCGCUACACUGAACAGUUCAACAAGUCUUAACCUUGGCCGAUAGGUCUGGGUAAUCUUUGAACGCUGUUCGUGAUUGGGAUAGACCUUUGCAAUUAUGGGUCUUCAACGAGGAAUUCCUAGUAAACGCAAGUCAUCAGCUUGCAUUGAUUACGUCCCUGCCCUUUGUACACACCGCCCGUCGCACCUACCGAUUGAAUGGUCCGGUGAAAUCUCGGGACGGCGGCUCGGUCGCUUGCGUCCGACUGCUGAAACUUGAUUAAACCAUAUCAUUUAGAGGAAGGUGAANUCGUANCA
This 320-nucleotide ribosomal RNA is filed under the name uncultured eukaryote. Its description in RNAcentral is "partial 18S ribosomal RNA". It matches the Rfam family "Eukaryotic small subunit ribosomal RNA", at positions 1470 to 1796 of the family's 1831-position model. The record is from RNAcentral.